CACGAGCUAGUGAAAAGAAGAGUUCGUUUGAUUUGUUUCAGCCCCAGGACUGAGGCGUUCAGGUGGCGUGACUGGCGUGCCCUGUCUGCAAUCCUCCCUUUCAGUAAGCCCCAGGACCGAGGCGUUGAGGUGGCGUGACUGGCGUGAAUUCGGCGUGCCCUGUCUGCAAUCCUGCCUUUCAGUAAGGGGCAGUAAGGACAAGAUCCACCCACCACCCAGUGCAUGCUACAUAUGUGUGUGUAAUAAAUUGAGAGGGAAAGUGUGUGUGAUAAAUUAAAUUUAAUAA
This is a long non-coding RNA of Alosa alosa (allis shad), 286 nucleotides long. RefSeq lists it as uncharacterized. The record is from RefSeq and is a predicted model, not a curated record. The transcript is spliced from 4 exons. NCBI's taxonomy places the organism in Eukaryota, Metazoa, Chordata, Actinopteri, Clupeiformes, Clupeidae.